Xenopus tropicalis (tropical clawed frog) is the source of this 120-nucleotide small nucleolar RNA. The record is from Ensembl. NCBI's taxonomy places the organism in Eukaryota, Metazoa, Chordata, Amphibia, Anura, Pipidae.
UUGCCCACUUUAAGGCUACAUUCUUUUAAGUGGCCAACACAGGGGGGUAUAUUAAAGAGCUCUCUAAAACUCUAAGCAAAAUGGAAGUUUUUGCUCUGAAUCCUGUCGUGAGCAAUACAA